AACGAACAGGCCGGAACUGAAUGUCUCGUCGCGAUUGUUGACGAAAACGCCCUCGUUGCCAUAGUGAAGCCGCUGUCGCCAUUUUUAUUGUGGUUGACCGACGCUUGUGUCAGCCUGUGAGGAAAUGAGUAGCAAGGAGUUCUAUGAGCUGACUACAAAUUAGUCGGUGUCCUGUGGAAGCCUCUUACGUUCUAUUUAAUGCUAAUCAUGGCUCUAAAGAGAAAAGUCAACGUGAAAUAGAAUUUGGAGAAAGGCUUCCCGGAACCUAAUGCUACUUUCCGGUCAUCAGCUUAUUUGCUCUAAGUGAAGCGUCAGAAGUAGCGCCCCCAGUUCCCCUUUCUUGAACAGAAGUGGCCCAGGAAACAAGUGGAUGGGAGUCAGAGGGCCUAAGUUCAGGUAAAUCAUGCCACCUGGCAAAACUGGACUCUCCACCUGUGAAGUGGAAAUUACCUUAGCUGUCUGCAGAGGAUUGCUAGUCAUUAGAGGGAUCAUCUGUAAAAUGUUUUGACAAUCAAGGGUAGAGACUCAAAGGGCAUCUACUAUAAACUAGAAAGCUGAAUUGGUUAGAGGGCAAGGCUUUGAUGUGGAUGAAUAGGACAAAGGAGAAUUCCCUAGAGAUACAUUCAAAUAAUGAAAUAAGGACAAACAAGCCCUAUUCCUUUUACUGACCUCCUGCCAUUCUCAGAUAAUUUUUUUUUUUCAGAUCCCUCUGUUUGGGAAAUACAAAGCUAUGGCUAAAACUCUUGUUUCGCAACAGCUAUUGAGUAUCACUCAAGUUGUUAAUGUUUUUCAGUUUCAACUAAGAUCCCAUGGAGACACAUUGAGCAGGACUAGGAUAAAAAACUGGGUUUCCUCCAUACAUCCUUGAGACUAACUAUUCCCAUGUAGGCUGACUUAAUGGCUUCUAACCUCAAGUACCUAGGAAUCUUUGCCGGGUGGUUUUCUCAGGCCACCACAACUGGCUUAGCGCACAUGCAGAUCAGGUUAGAAGUGCUGGGGGAAUGACCAGUGGAAGCUGAUGAAUGUCUCAAGUUCCUCAUACCUUAGUGGGAAUGCUUUCAAGGUGCAUUCAUACUGCCUCUUAGAGUCCCCUCAGGAUUUCAGUUUUUCUGUAAUCAUCUCCAUGUCUUGCACUUUCAAGUUUUCCUCUUUCCUUCUUUCCCUCUGUCUCUUGGAUCACUUCCAUCAAUAUACAAACACGUUGCCAUUUGCCUUCUUUAAUAACCUCUCUCAAUGCUUCAUCUCUAUGAAUAUUCCCGUGUUCUUAUCUCCUACUCAGACUUCCACCCUGAAAUCCCAAGUCCAGUAUCAUUUGUAUCUUGAUAUCUCAACUUGGCAUCUAGUAGACAAUGCAUACUUAGUAUGUUUGAAACAUAUUUCUUUUUGCCACUAUCUCCCAUGUAACCAAUGGCAUCAUGCUAUCUACCAUCCAACCAUUUAGUCAUUAACACAGUUUAUAAAUUAUCUUUAAUUGCCCACCCCACAUUUUCCUCAUCUCUCUAAAGCUGUUUGGUAGCUGCCAAGGAUUUAUAUAUCCUGAAUACUGUAAAAUUUAAGACAAAUCUGCAAAAAGUUCAAGGAAAACCCAUGUCAUGAAAAACUCUCUUGAAUUUCGAGUUUUUUGCACCCAAAUGAGCUUAUCAUUUAGUUCCAUUUUUCCACAAACUUUCUGAAGUCCUCUCAUAUACCAAGUUAGUCAACCUCUCUUGAUUUCUUCCACCACCUUCUAAGCACAUGAAUUGUGCAGAUAUAUCCUUAUCAAACAGGAUUUGUUUUCCAAAAUAUAAUUUCUGAUCAUAUCCUCCCUGCUGACAAAUUCUUCCUUUCUAACCAUUGUUAAUGUAAUAAGGUCAUUCCCAGGCCUACCAGGCCAGGCAUGAUUUGGAUCUUAAAUCUCAGCCUGAGAUGGAACUGUUCCCAGGAUAAAGACACGCAGGGACACUUAUCUCUUUUCACUUCCAAAAAUAGGCCAAGGCUUUUCUCGUGCCUCUGUCUAUACACUUGCUGUUUUCUUGGUUUGAAACACCCUUUUCCUAGAUUAUGCAAUGGCUGGGAAUUUGUCUUAAGGUCAUCUACUUAUAGGCCUCUAUUAAACACUUUCUCUGAAAGUUUCAUUCUCCUUAGUUUACUGUUGUGUCUAUUUAAUCCUCUGUUGAUUUCUUCUUUAUUCCUUAUUUGUUGUUUGUUUAUUCUUAAAUGUCUCUCUCAGUAACAACAACAAGUAGUGUUCUUUCUCUGUCUACUGCUAUAUCCCCAGAAUUUCAGUCAUUGUCCAAUAUAGUAGUACUAAGAGAACGGCCACUUUGAACACCAAGAGACUUGUGCACUUUUGUAGCCAUACAAGGAGCAAUCCAUAUCCAUGAGUGUAGAAAUUAUCAGAAGGUUAGAAAACGAUUGAUAAACUCAAAUAGUCCAUGCUAUUUAAGUGAAUGAUGAUAAAUACUUCAGAGGAAAUAUUAUACAGUUAUCAGUAUAAUGGUCAUAAAAGUUUUUGUUUUUUAUUUGAGCAAGUGCUGAGAGAGAAAGAGAGACAGAGAGAGAGGGAGAGAGAAAGAGAACGAGCUCUCAUCCACUAAUUUACCACAAAUGCCUGCAAUGGCUGGAGCUGGGCUGGGCCAACACCAAGAACUCAAUCUGGGUUACCCAUGUGAGUGGCAGGGACCCAACUAUCUGAAUCAUCACUGCGGCCUCCCAGGGUGCGCAUUAGCAGGAAACAAAUUGGGAACCAAACUUAGGUACUUUGAUAUGAGAUGAGGGCAUCCUAACCAACAGCUUAACCGUCAGGCCAAGUGCCCAGCCCUAUACAAAUUUUAAUGACAGAGGAAGUUAUAUAGGCUACGCCUUAGAUGGUGGCAUACUAUAUAUGUAUGUAUAUAGCAAGUUUAUUAGGGUAUGCUCUAAAAUGUGAUUCAAGUGAUUUUCUAUAUGUGAAGCAAUUAUAGAUGAUUCAAGUUUUCUAUAUUUUUCUCUAGUUACAAAUUAUAUGUGAUAACCAAAUGUCAUUUUUUUAAAGAUUUAUUGCAAAAUCAGUGAAAGAAAGUGAGACACUCACACAUACACAUACACAUAUGCAUACACAUACACAUACAAAGAGGGAGAGAGGGAGAGAGAGAAUAUGAAUCUUCCAUUCACUGGACCACAACCCAAAUAGCCACAACAGCCAGGUCUUGGCCAGUUUGAAGCCAGAAACCAGAGAAUUCCAUCCUGGUCUUCCACGUUGGUAGCAGUGGCCCAAGCACUAGGGCCAUCCUUUGCUGCCUUCCCAGGCAUGUUAGCAGAAGUUGGAUUGGAAGUGGAGCAGCUGGGGCUGGCGCUGUGGCUCAGCAGGUUAACACUCUGGACUGAAGCCCUGGCAUCCCAUAUAGGUGCCGGUUUGAGACUUGGCUGCUCCACUUCCAAUCCAGCUCUCUGCUAUGGCCUGGGAAAGCAGUAGAAGAUGGCCCAAGUCCUUGGGGCCCCUGCACCCACGUGGGAGACCCAGAAGAAGCUCCUGGCUCCUGGCUUCGGAUUGGCACAACUUCGGCCGUUGCGGCCAAUUGGGGAAUGACCAUCGGAUGGAAGACCCUCUCUUUCUCUCUUCUCUCUGCCUCUCCUCUCUCUGUGUAACUCUGACUUUAAAAUAAAUAAAUCUUAAAAAAGAAAAAGUGGAGCAGCCAAUACUAGAACCAGCACUCUGACAUAGGAUGCCAGCAUCGCAGGCACUGGCUUAAUUCACUGUGCCACAAGGCUGGUUCCCAAAAUGUUAUUUUUAAAUCUUUAGAAAAUCUCUGAUGCAUUAAGGAAAUUUUUUCUGGGUCCCAUUCAAAUGAAAACUCCCUUUAGUUUUCUAUUUGUGGCAGGGGAUGGGAGAAGUCAUAUGCAAAAGGUGUUCUUUCUCUAGGUUUCUUCCUCACCCAAAGCCAGUCUGGAACUUUGAAUGAUAAUUAAAAUAUCAUAUAUAGACUUUGACACAGGUUACACCUAGCUUUUUAUCUGAGCCACAAAACUGGAGUAUGUGACUUGAAAGCUAGAUCAAUGCUGCAGCAUUGGAAAUGGUUCUUUUAAAAAGUUGCAGAUAUGCAAAGAAGCUGCACUUGUAGGUGACCACCUUCACCCACCAUCACUCAAGCAUGUGAGCUUAUCAGUACCAUCAUUUGAGCUCAUUACAAUUAGAAUGAUGCAGAAGCAGCCAGCAGGGACAACAAUAAGAUAGUAGACAAGCCAGGGGAACAAUUAUUUAGUAAAGGAGAGGUAGACUCGGGGAAUUCAUUGGAGAGGGGGAAGAGUGGUGGGCAAACUGUCGCAUAUUGUCUCUUCCAAAAUGGCCAGAAUGACUUUAUUCUACAAUAAUCUCAGUCAGAGAAGCUCCAGCUGGAGAUGUGUUUGUGUUCCCAGCCUCCUCUCAAUGGGGUGCAAACAUAUUGAAGGGACCCAGCCCCCUCACAGGACAGGCUGUGUGCCUUCUUUAAGGGCUUUGCUUCCUGCAAACCAUCAGAGUCCCUGUGGGAAGGAGGUUCUGAAUUUGCCUGGGCUGGCUGUGCCCAAGGGCUCUCCACCCAGCCCCCUCCCCACCCCCCAAUCCAUCCCGAGAGGUCCUGGAGCCUGGAAAUAGCGAGGAAUAAUUGUUCCCCACUUUUCUCUCCUCCUAACUUUCUUCACUUUGCUUUCUGUACCCAGCAUGCCUUUCCCUUCCUCUGAGUGCCUCCUCCCUUGUUCCUUGGUUUUGGCACUCCUUCUGCACCUUUUGCCAACCUGCCCUGCCCCACUCAGUGCUAAGCUCAUUAGAGCAGGGGAAAUUGAACACAAUGCAGUUCUUUCCUUCACAGAAUGCAAUUUGAAAUUGUAGAUACAGUCAUACAUAACUUCAGUGCCACAGAUUCAGUGUUACUGAAGUUGCCAUUAGGAGUGCUUUGUGGUAGAGGGCUGGUCUCCUAGCCGCCAGAUCUGAAGGCAGGGAGCAGCCUUCACGGAUUUCAUCCAUGGAGCAGGCACCGAAAGUUAGAUUCUGUGAGUCAGGCAAACGGGGCCCAAAGAGCUUCCUUUGUGGAUUCUAUGCUGUUCUGACUAGCAGUGUACCACAGCAGUGCAUGGUGUAAAAUGCUUACUGAUUAUUUGGAAGAUCAUUAGUUGUAUCAGACCAUAUGGGAUUUGUUGUUGUUGCUGUUUCUGUUUACAAGUAAACUUCAAUUCCAAUGUGUACUCUGGGCAUACUUUCUUUUUUAAUUUCAAAUUUCCAGUAGCCUGCUUUUUUUUUUUAAUUUAUUUGUUUAUUUGAAAGUGAGAGUUACACAGAGAGAGGAGAGGCAGAGAGAGAGAGAGGUCUUCUAUCCGAUGGUUCACACCCCAAUUGGCCGCAACUGCUGGAGCUGCACUGAUCUGAAGCCAGGAGCCAGGAGCUUCUUCUGGGUCUCCCAUGUGGGUGCAGGGGCCCAAGGACUUGGGCCAUGUUCUCCUGCUUUCCCAGGCCAUAGCAGAGAGCUGGAUUGGAAGUGGAGCAUCCAGGUCUCGAACCCAGCACCCUUAUGGGAUGCCGGCGCUUCAGGCCAGGGCAUUAACCUGCUGCGCCAUGGUGCCGGCCCCCAGUAUCCUUCUUUUCCAACAUUACAGCAUCUACUACAGUUUUGCUCGCAUCAUGUUUUCCUAUUUGACUCUAUGAGCAAUUGUGAAGUCAGAGUGUACAUCUAUUUGCAUCACCACUGAAUUCCUAAGGCCUCUAUCAGGAAGUCAAACAGUUGUUUAAUGAGAAACGAUAUACUUUGCCCUUGUGAAAGCCAAGUUUCCAGCUCUCAGAAACUAUACUUUCAGUAAUGCUAAGCCAAUUUAAACAUGUGAAUAACAAAUAUGUUGCAUUUUAAAUAAGAUUGUGCGAAUUAGAGCUUUUCUCCCUUCUGAUAAUGUCUGCGGCCAGCCCAUUUUUGUUUAUGACAAUGAAAUUCUUCAUAUCAAAUGAAAAAAAAAGCUUUGUGAGCAUGGAGAAGAGACCAAAUCCUCUUCUCUUGCAUUUGUAGAACAUCUCCGAUUGCUUUUCCUCACCUCACCGAAUGCUCCUUCCUAGAGGUAUACAGUUCCCAGCUGUGUGGCCCAGAUGCCUCAAACUCAGCACUUCCCGUGUUCAACUCAACCAGUGUUCUCCCCAUUGCCAUGUAGCUCAGAGAUGCCCCUGCCCGUCUUCCAGUUGUUCAUGUAAGAUUUAGGACUUUAACUCAUGCCCACCAGUUCAUCUUCAUUUUUAAUAGACUUGACUUGAUGCAUAGUUCCCCACAGAACCCACUUCUGUGCAGUGACAUCAUCCUAAACCUGGUCUCUAAAUUGUCCUUCAGAUUUUUGAAACUUUAUUUGAAAGGCAGAGAGACAGAGACAGAGAUCUUUCAUUCACUGGUUCACUCUCCGAAUGGCCACAACAGCUAGGUUUGUGCCACGCUGAAGCCAGGAGCCAGGAACUCAGUGCAGUUCUCCCACAUGGUUGGCAGGAACCCAAGCGCCCUAGUCAUCAGCUGUUGCCUCCCAGGGAGUACAUUGGCAGGAAACUGGAUUGGAAGCAGAGGAGGGACUAGAACCCAUACACCUGAUAGGGGAUGCUGAUAUCCCAAGCUGUAUCUUGGCCACUAUGCCAAAUGCCCACCCACAAUCUCUGAAUUUUCUUAAAGCUUCCUGCAUGGAUCGCCUGCCUUGGUUUAUUUCAUUGGCAACAUACUAUUAUUUGAAUACGUUUAUUUUAUGCCAAUGUACUUGUGGUGAAAACCAAUGUAAUCAAGAAUUUUUUGCAGAAGCCUUACUUUAUUAUAUUCCCAGAGUGUCACAUUAUAGUGCAUACUCUGUCAAAAUUAGAUAUGUCAUUAUUGUACAUUGACUUUGAAUAAUGCAUAUUGUGGUACCUAGCACUUGUGGCUUUGUAAUAUCUAAAUUUAUGAAAACUUGAGAGAGAAAAGACAAAUUUAAUAAGAUGUCUGUAUGAAAGGUUCUCACCAUAAUUCAUUACUAGAUUUUUUUUUAUUUGACAUAUAGAGUUAGACAGUGAGAGAGAGAGAGACAGAGAGGAAGGUCUUCCUUCCAUUGGUUCACCCCCCAAAUGGCCACCUUGGCCUGUGUGUUGUGCCGAUCCGAAGCCAGGAGCCAUGUGCUUCUUCCUGGUCUCCCACACCAGUGCAGGCACCCAAGUACUUGGUCCAUCCUCCACUGCUUUCUCGGGCCACAGCAGAGAGCUGGACUGGAAGAGGAGCAACUGGGACUAGAACCCGGUGCUCAUAUGGGAUGCCUGUGCCGCAGGCGGAGGAUUAACCAAGAGAACCACAGUGCCAGCCCCUACUAGAUGUUAUUUUUUUAAUCUUUAUUUAUUUAUUUAUUUAUUUGAAAGUCAGAGUUACACAGAGAGAGAAGGAGAGGCAGAGAGAGAGAGAGAGAGAGAGAGUUCUUCCAUCUGAUGGUUCACUCCCCAAGAGGCCGCAAUGGCCAGAGCUGAGCCGAUCUGAAGCCAGGAGCUUCUUUUGAGUCUCCCACGCGGGUACAGGGCCCCAAGCACUUGGGCCUUCUUCCACUGUUUUCCCAGGCCAUAGCAAAGAGCUGGAUCAGAAGUGAAGUGGCCCAUAUGGAUUCCCAUAUGCGAUGCGAUGCCAGCACUGCGGGUAGCAGUUUUACCUGCUACGCCACAGUGCCGCCCCCCUUUAAAAUAUUUAUUUAUUUGAAAGUUAGAGUUACACAGAGAGAGAAGGAGAGGCAGAGAGAGAGAGGCAGAGAGAGAGAGAGAGAUGGUUUUAUUGAAUCUUUUUUAUGUUCUAGAACAGCAUCCCAGCAUGAAUUAUUUUAUAUGGUAUGCUUAUACUUUUACACAUGAGUCUGUGGUGUUUGAAAUGUAAACAGAGGAAUAAAUAUUCAACCCGUGAGCUAUAACCAGAAGCAUCUUGAUUUUGUCCCUCUGCUCACUGGGGCAGUGUUUCCCUUGUCCAUGCACAGAGUCAAGCUAUCUGUAUCUUUUCUUUUUUUCUAAGUAUAUUUAUUUAUUUACUUAUUUAUUUAUGUUUGAAAAGUAGAGUGACAAAAAGAGAGAUAGUUUCUUCAAUGUGUUAUUUCAUUCCCCCAAACACCCACAACAGCCACGGUUGGGCCAGGAUGAAGUCAGGAGCCAGGAACUUCACCUUGGUUGAGCCAGUCAACCCACCUGGAUGACAGAGACCCAGGAUACUUGACCCAUUACCUGCUGUCUCCCAGGGUGUGCAUUAGCAGGAACUUGGAUCGGAAGCUGAGGUGGGACUUAAUCCCAGGCACUCUGAUAGGGGAUGCCAGCCUUGCAAGUGGCAGUCUAACCCCCUGCACCACAAUGCCAGCCCCUACGUGGCCUUCUUUUAUUCUCUUACAUUUAACAUACUCACUUCUUUCACUGCAGCUCAUAUUCACGGCUGCUCUAACUGCUCAGACACCUGCCUAACAGCUUAUCCUUCAGACCUCAUGCCAAACAGAAGCUCCUCAGGACUGUUUCCUCUACGUCCACCCCUCUCCCCAACAAGCCAUAUAUCUCCCUACCUAGGGGUCUCAUAGCACAAUCUUCUUCUCUUAUAGUGCUUCCAAGUCAUACUUCUAAUAUUUUUUUUGAUUAAUGGCUAUCUUUCCCCAAGUGUGUAAAUUCCACGGAGUAAGAGCUGCACUUCCCCUCAUUGUUGUAUUAGUGUGGACCUGCCACAUAUAAUAGGUACCCAUCGAAUAUUUGUACAAGGAGCACAUGAAUUAACAAUGAAUGAAUGAUGCCAGGAAAGAAAAUCCGAGCAUGGCCUGAAAGACUUGGUUCUAAAACACUGCCACUAGAUGGCAGCAGCAACCAGCAGUAAGGUUGCUGAAGCCUCUAAGUACAGAGGUUUGAGUUUCAGAUGCCAGGACUCACAGGGCAUUUCUUCACUCAUCUCUGUCAGUCCUCCCUUACUGAUAAUAGGGAUAGUUCACGUGUGUGAGUGUGUUAGGCAGCAAAUAAUAGAAACUCCAAGAAACUCAACAGUGGAUCAGAAGACACAUUUUUCUUUUUUCUUGACCUUUAUUCAGUGUCAUUGUGACAUAUAACCCCACUAGUCCACUUACAGAAUGGAUUCAGACUUAGGAAGAGCAGCAAAAGUGAGACUUUACUAAGGAUCUUGCAGGAUCUGGUGGCUGGUGGGCCAGCACACCUAGUGUGGUUUCAACAAGCGAUUUAUUCCCUGUUAUGCAGGUGCCUCCCCGGGUUCCUCAUUAGCUGACUCUGGAGUUUUACAAUCUUCCUGGCACUUGCUUCAGCUGUUUUGGCCACUCCUAACAUCUGUUUGCCUAUGAACUUUCCCGGUGCAUAUAACGUAGCUGUGAUGCUAGCUAGCUACGUGUCACUUUUCACAUGUCUGCAAGCAGUUAGGCUAGCCGCUUGUCUACUCAAAGCUUUGAAAGUGUUUACUGCUCGCAUCAUGAUCAGACUAUUACAUUUAGAAAUCAAUAAACAUGGGUGCAAAAAAACCCCACCAAACUACAUUAAAAACUGUAGUUGGUUGGAACGCUUUAUGCUUUCCACAGAAGAGAAACUAAAAUAACCUGUUACACAGUUAGUCACAAAUACAGCCCUCAAGGGUUUUCUUUCAUUUUGUUUUGCCAAAAACAUGAGUAUUACCUAAAACAUGUCUUUCUCUGUGGCAGCUAGGUUCUGCCACCACCAUGUUUUGCUUAGUUCACAAAUACAUUGCAACUUGUAGCUUCUCUGUCACUUCUUUGGCUGUUCUCUUUUGCUAAGAUUUGUUUCCUGGUGGUUAUCAAAACCUUUUGUCACUGCCAUAGCUUCUGCUGUGGAACUGCCAUCGCCUCCUUGGUUUGUGGUAUGGCCAAGUGUUGGUCUCUACCACCAACUGGACAGAGCUUCUGUUGUCAAAGUUGCCUCCUUUCAUAGGUCCAAAAUUUGAAGACUUAACUGCCGAAAUCAUGGUAGCUUUCUUUUUUUUAAUUUUUAAAAUUUUUUUGACAGGCAGAGUGGACAGUGAGAGAGAAAGAGACAGAAAGAAAGGUCUUCCUUUGCCAAUGGUUCACCCUCCAAUGGCCGCCGUGGCCAGUGCACUGCGGCUGGUGCACCGCACUGAUCCAAUGGCAGGAGCCAGGUACUUAUCCUGGUCUCCCAUGGGGUGCAGGACCCAAGGACUUGGGCCAUCCUCCACUGCACUCCCUGGCCUGGAAGAAGGGCAACCGGGACAGAAUCCGGCGCCCCGACUGGGACUAGAACCCAGUGUGCUGGCGCUGCAAGGCGGAGGAUUAGCCUAGUGAGCCGCGGCGCUGGCCCACGGUAGCUUUCAUUCCCUCCACAACUGCUUCUAUCUUUACCAUAUCUGUUGUGGUCAUCCCCACUGCCAGCAUAUCCACCACUACCAGGACUGCCACCAAAGCCACCAUGACCACUGAAGUUUCCUCCAAAAUCAAAGGAUCGUUCCCACCAAAACCACUUCCACACCUGCCACCGAAGUAUCCAGAACUACUCCGGCGUGCUUGGCUGGACGAAGGACUGGCCACCUCAGGCUCUGACAGAACUUUCCUGACCUCACAGUCGUGGCCGUUCACAGAUGGCGUUUCUGAAUGACGAUCUUAGCCACAGAAUCUUAGUGUCCAAGACGGUAAAAAACAAGCUCCUCUCUUUGCCACUGGCUUGAUGGGGGCAGAUGCCAAAGUACAGAGAUGCAUGUCAAGAAUGAAGAUCCAUGGCUUUUGUUCUGCCUUGACCCCCACGGCAGUGCCCGGGUGAUGAGGUGCACGAUAAGUAACCAUUCAUCAAUCCGUGACGUCUCAGAUUUAAGGUCACCAGGUGGGUAACAAUCUCACCGAACUGAAUGAUGGUGUAGCGGCACAGCUCACUCAAGGACCCACCAGCGAUAGCAUCAGCGAAGCUGCUUCAGCAUCGCGAGCAUCCUCGAACAGCAUGAGCAAAUCCUGGAUGGCGAGUGCAGAGAUCAAGUGGAACACACACAUCAACUCUCUGACUGUAGCGACCAAACGUGAGCCACACAUCUUCAGAGGUGGUGUUGUCCGCCACGUUCCUGACCACGAGAGGUGCUGGGCGCAGGGCUCAGGUUGUAUGUGUGGGUUGGGGAACUCAGGCAGCAGGACCAGACAGAGGCGAGAGUGUCCGCCAGGGGCACUAAGGCGUUCGGCAAACCCUUUGUGGCCGAACCUCACAGCCGCAGCCACAGCACUCCGCCAACGGCGGCCUCUUACUAACUCAUCAACAAGGGACCCCUUGUUUGUAUUUCGCACUGGGUCCCAUAGAUGUGUAGUUGAUCCUCACUAGGAUAAUUACAGAAUCGCUGAUGUUAUAGAAGAGAGCCCGUAAUUCAGGGAACCCACAAGCUGAGGGGAUGCUGCAUUUGGGCAGUGAGGUAGGAUGGAUUUCGGAAGGGAGGAGGUUGUUUAAUAACAAGAUCCAUCUCCAGGACAGUGAUUCUGGCAGAGGGAACGAGGUGGGCCUAAGCACAGGGGUCAGGGAGCCUGCAAGAUGGGGCUACCAAGUGGACUUUGGUACUGCUGGAACCUACCGUACCACUAGGGGGCGCCCAGGGAGAGUUGACGCGUGCGUGUGGGUCAGAUCCCGAGAGGGAAGGUACUGCCUGCCCCGCAGGAGAUGAAUCAGAUCUCUCAACUCUGUUCCUUGAGGAUUGCAGCAGAGUCGUUCUGUUCAGAGACUCAGGCCACACAGACCUGCCUAUCAGGAAAGGAUUCCGGGAACAGGAUAAAUCGAUUUGCCUUUCCAGUGUCCACCUCUUUAAGUACCAAUAAACUGUUCAAAUAAAAAGACGCUUGGCAUGUGUCAAGAUUUGCUAGCCUGGAACAGGAUGGUCCAAAUGGCCUCUGUGCUAAACUUUGCUGGGCUUGACCUCUUAGAGGGGCCCAGAUGAGUUGCCAGGGACAUUAGUCGUGGUAGGCUGAAUAAUGGCUGCCCAAGGAUGUCCAUUUCUGGAACCUGCAAAUAGAUUGCCUUGGACAGAACAGGGACUUCAUGGAAAUGAGUCAGGAUUUCGAGAUGGGGAGAUGAUCCUGGAUUAUCCCUGUAGGCCCAGUGUAACCACAGGGUUCUUAUAAGAAGGCAGCAGGGGGGUCAAAGUGAGUAGCAAGAGAUUGGCAAGGCCUAAGGAACGGGCCACCAGCCAAGGAGUGCAGGUGGAUCUGCACAGGGCAGGGAAUGCGUGAGCCUCUGAAGGCUGCAGAAGGAACCCAGCCUCACCUCAGAAUCAUCUCGAUUUCAGGCUUCUCAUCUCCAGAACGGCAGGAGAACACAUUCGUUUAGUUUAAGCUCCUCAGUUUGUGGGAAUUUAUUAACACAGUGAUAGGAAAAUAAUACAGGCCUUUAGCAAUUAUUCAAAGUUAUUUUUUAAAGUUCUAUUUUCGUGUAUGCUUAUAAUAAGCAUGAGAUAGUAAUACAAUUUAUGUCUAUACUCACUCAGUUUAAAAAUAAGUGAUUACAUAGAUUAGAGAUCUUGUUGAUAUGAAUGAUAGAUGUGUGCAUGUUCAAAAAUUUUUAGAUUUCUGGUAUAAAAAUGGGAGCAACAGAAGUCCAGAUGUAAUAUAACUUAAUACUCAAAUAUUUGGCAUUAAUAUAUGUAUAUUAGUUACAAGGAAUAGCAGUCUAGAUGUGACUAUGCAAGCACCAGUAAUCACAAAAGAAAGAGAAUAUGACUCAAGCAGCUGGAAAUGUUUUCCGUACUUUUGGUAGUUUCCUUAAUACAGCUUAUACAAGUAAAAAUUCAGAAAAAGAAAAUUCUGUAUUAUAGUCUAUUCAUUUGCCUAAUAUGCUGUAGGGCAUAUAUGCUUGGACUAAGAAUUCUAUGUUGCUUUUCACAUGUAUCAACAUAGGGCCACAGAAGACUAUUUCCAUGAAAAACUUACCUUAAUGUUACUCAAGAAUGCUGUAGCUAUUUUGAAAUAUUUUUGAUCCUAAACUCAUUACAUCAGAGAUCAUUAAGCAAGGUCAAGAAUUAGUCUUUUUCUGGAAUAUAUCCUGGCAAAAUUUAUUAUUUUUUCAUCAAAAUGCAUUAUCUUGCUUUCUAUUUUUUAGAAUAUAUUUUUUAAAUUAUACAAGUUUCAUAUAUUUCCUUUAUACCAUUUUAGGAACAUAGUAGCACUUCCCCCUCUACCCUCCCUCCCACCCACACUCCAGCCCUUCCUCCCCCUCCCUCUCAGAUUCUCACUCUUAAUUUUUACAAUGAUCUGUUUUCAGUACACUUAAUGAUCGUAUAGUUAACCCUACCCUAAGUAAAAGAGUUCAACAAAUAGUAUGAACAGAAAACAAAAUAAAACACUGUUCCUUAACCAAAGAGACAAGGGCUACAAACAAUCUUUGCUCCUCAAAAUGUCUAUUUCACUCCAAUACAUUAUACUUCAGGUACUCUGUUACCUCCAGUCAGGGAAAACGUAUGAUGUCUGUCUUUUGGGGACUGGCUUAUUUCGCUAAGUAUAAUGGCUUCCAGUUGGGACCCUCUUGCUGCAAAAGACAGGAUUUUAUUGUUUUACAGCUUAGUACUCCAUAGUGUAUAUCUACCAUAAAGUCUUUAUCCAGUCAUCAGUUGAUGGGCAUCUGGGUUGAUUCCAUAUCAGCUGUUGUUAUUGUGCUGCAAUGAACAUGGAUGGGGGUACAGAUAACUCUUUCAUAUACUGAUUUCUUUCAGUUUCGGUAAAUUCCCAGGAGUGGGAUGGCUGAAUCAUAUGGUAGGUCUAUAUUCUGAUUUCUGAGGCACCUCCAUACCGUCUUCCACCAUGGUUGCACCAGUUUAGAUUCCCACCAAAAGUGUGCCAGGGUGGAAAAAUUUGUGAAAAUAGUUAUAUGGACAGAAAUUACUCCAUAACUUUAAAAUAGUGUUGGGCUGAAAAAAAAGUAGACAGUGCUAGGGUCCAGAUAAGAAGUGAAAGUACUAAGAAUAAGAACUGGGGUUGGUGCUAUGGUGUAGUAGCUUAAGUCUUCACCUGUGGCACUGGCAUCCCAAAUGUGUGCAUUCAAGUCCAGGCUGCUCUACUUUCCAUCCAACUUCCUGCUCGUGGCCUGGGAAAGCAGCAGACAGCCCAAAUGCUUGGCCCCUGUGCCCAUGUGGGAGAUCCAGAGGAACCUCCUGGCUCCUGGCUUCAGACCAGCUUCAGAUCCGGCUGUUGUGGCCAUUUGGGGAGUGAACCAGCAGAUGGAAGACCUUUCUAUCUCUUCUGUUUCUCAAAUAACAUGAGUUGUCAUUUGCAUUUAAAGCACAAUGGUGGAUUCCCAUGGGAACAUUUUCUCUAUAUGGAUUUAUUUAAAAACUGGCCUUGGGAAUGAAAAGAAGUGGGCUCAUUUUGUCAUCAGGAUUUAAGAAGAAACAAACAGAAACCAAGGUUCAGAGCAAUAAGCACCAUUCCCAAGUGGAUGAGAAACUCACUCUGGGGAAAGCCAGUUGCCAGGUGAGAAAUUUGCCAUGCUGGAGGGGCUGCAUGAAUAUGCUGUGGUUCACGUCUGAGUUUUUGGCCAACCAUGAGCCAGCAUCCACACUCAGUCACAUGGAGAGCC
Oryctolagus cuniculus (rabbit) is the source of this 14485-nucleotide non-coding RNA. NCBI's taxonomy places the organism in Eukaryota, Metazoa, Chordata, Mammalia, Lagomorpha, Leporidae. The record is from RefSeq and is a predicted model, not a curated record.